Molecule: ribosomal RNA, 253 nt
Filed under: uncultured bacterium
Lineage: Bacteria
Description: partial 16S ribosomal RNA
Rfam family: Bacterial small subunit ribosomal RNA
Source: RNAcentral
UACGUAGGGACCGAGCGUUGUCCGGAUUCAUUGGGCGUAAAGAGCUCGUAGGCGGCCACUCAAGUCGAAUGUGAAACCUCGAGGCUUAACCUCGAGCCUGCAUUCGAUACUGGGCGGCUAGAGUCUGGUAGGGGGAUCUGGAAUUCCUGGUGUAGCGGUGGAAUGCGCAGAUAUCUGGAGGAACACCGGUGGCGAAGGCGGCAUCCUGGACCGACACUGACGCUGAGGCGCGAAAGCUAGGGUAGCAAACGGG